UAAUGAUUGAAUUAGUAAUUAAUAAAUAAUGUUUUAAGUUUAAAGUUUAUUUCUAUAAAUAUAUAAUAUAUAUAUAAGGAAUUCGGAAAAUUUAAUAUAUCCACCUGUUUAACAAAAACAUGGCUUAUUGAUAAUAAUUUUAAGUCAACUCUGCCCAAUGAUUUUAAAAAUUUAAUGGCUGCAGUAUAAUUGACUGUACAAAGGUAGCAUAAUCAAUUGUUUUUUAAUUAAAUA
This 234-nucleotide unclassified non-coding RNA is filed under the name Bombus terrestris (buff-tailed bumblebee). Its description in RNAcentral is "misc RNA ENSBTSG00005025552.1". Lineage: Eukaryota; Metazoa; Arthropoda; Insecta; Hymenoptera; Apidae. The record is from RNAcentral.